Molecule: transfer-messenger RNA, 360 nt
Filed under: Hyphomicrobiales bacterium
Lineage: Bacteria; Pseudomonadati; Pseudomonadota; Alphaproteobacteria; Hyphomicrobiales
Rfam family: Alphaproteobacteria transfer-messenger RNA
About the family: Bacterial tmRNA, also known as 10Sa RNA or SsrA, is named for its dual tRNA and mRNA-like properties.
Source: RNAcentral
GGGCUUUCCAUAGCGGCCGCGAGUGCCUAUAUUGUGCCUGCCUCCCGAAAGGGCGGCUAUGGCGAUAAACGGACGUCACAAUAAACCUUUCGGACCCGGGGGCAGUACCCGGCGCCUCCACCACAGGCCGCAAAUGAGCAAUGCGGCCGGUGAUGGGGGCGAACUAGGAUCGACGAGGGCGUAAAAGGCGUGCUUUUGCCCGAGAUGGUUCCGUCGUAACGGGCCAAAUUAUAGUUGCCAACGACAACUAUGCUCCGGUUGCUCAAGCCGCGUAAUGCGGUGCGAGUGCCGAAAUCAAAGCCCUCGGUCUUAGCCGACUGAGGCGGGGUUCGCAGGCACCUGGCAACAGAAGCCUGCACU